Molecule: long non-coding RNA, 239 nt
Filed under: Olea europaea (common olive)
Lineage: Eukaryota; Viridiplantae; Streptophyta; Magnoliopsida; Lamiales; Oleaceae
Description: long non-coding RNA (OEUR_LNC011698)
Source: RNAcentral
GCGUCGACUUUAAGGUAAGACCUCGAGUUUUUAAGUUAUUCUUUAGGUAUUUUUUACCUAGGUCAGGAUGUCUAGUAGUAGCAGUAGCGACACUUCGUCCUCAUCAUCCUCGAGGAGUACUCCCGAGGACGUAGGAGGCUCAAUCAUACCUAUGGCUGUCCCAAUUAAUGCCCAACCUCGGGCACAAAGUAUCCCGACCCCUUUUAGGUAUCCCGAGGUCCCCUGUAAAUUUAAAGAAC